Molecule: ribosomal RNA, 497 nt
Filed under: uncultured bacterium
Lineage: Bacteria
Description: partial 16S ribosomal RNA
Rfam family: Bacterial small subunit ribosomal RNA
Source: RNAcentral
GACGAACGCUGGCGGCGUGCCUAAUACAUGCAAGUUGAGCGCUGAAGGUUGGUCCUUGUACCAACUGGAUGAGCAGCGAACGGGUGAGUAACGCGUGGGGAAUCUGCCUUUGAGCGGGGGACAACAUUUGGAAACGAAUGCUAAUACCGCAUAAAAACUUUAAACACAAGUUUUAAGUUUGAAAGAUGCAAUUGCAUCACUCAAAGAUGAUCCCGCGUUGUAUUAGCUAGUUGGUGAGGUAAAGGCUCACCAAGGCGAUGAUACAUAGCCGACCUGAGAGGGGGAGCGGCCACAUUGGGACUGAGACACGGCCCAAACACCUACGGGAGGCAGCAGUAGGGAAUCUUCGGCAAUGGACGAAAGUCUGACCGAGCAACGCCGCGUGAGGGAAGAAGGUUGUCGGAUCGUAAAACUCUGUUGGUAGAGAAGAACGUUGGUGAGAGUGGAAAGCUCAUCAAGUGACGGUAACUACCCAGAAAGGGACGGCUAACUACGUG